UCUUCCAAAUUUGAAUCCCAAGAGUUUCAGUUCUUUUGCAACUCUUAAUUUUUUUCGGGCGCGUGUAACUCUAUUCAAAUUAUGACUGUAAUUUUGUUAAACUGUAUUAGUUCUCACAAUUAUCUUAUCUGCUACCAUUCUCUUAGUGAUAUUCAAUAUUUUUAGGCUAGUUUGGUUACAGCCACCUUAUUUGUUAUUUUGUUUAAAGGAUGCCUUCUCUGUUUUGUAAGCUUUGACUUGUUCUGUUGUCCCGUUAAAGCAUGCCAACAGAACUGUAGGAAAAACUGUUCUCUUUGGAACUGUCUGUUAGAAUAUUUCCUAAGGGCCAUUCGACCCAAAAAUUUUCUGCAUUCCGAGCUUUCAUUUGUGAGUAAUCAAAUUUCUCCCAGUUAAACCCUAAUUCGAAUUCUGCCAGAAUCCUGAAAGUUUGGUUUUUUUGUUUUGGCAGUCCUAAUUAGCCCUAGUUUUGACUUUUGAGUAUAAUUCAUUACCUAAAUCUUUUUCAGAAAUAGAGAGUUAAUGAGUUAGAAUCACCAUUAUUUUAUUGCCCUCAUAAGGCUGCUAUGUUUGUUGGAUUGGAGAGGCAAUUUCUGGAAAUUCAUUUUAAAAGAAUCAUGUGCACAUGUGUAAAGAAAUAUUUCGGUUUCAAUAUCUGAAACAGUUUAAACCAAAAUCAUUUAUAAACAUUUUGGUUUCAAUAUCUGAAACCGUUUAUUGAAUGAUUCGGUUUCUUGCUCGAAACCAUUUAACGCCCUCACACAUGUGGUAUCAACAGGGGUCAAAGAGCAAAAACAAAACUAUUGCAAGUCUUCUUUAUUGGGAAAGAAGAAUGAACCUAAAUUGGCAUGAAGAAGAAUGGAUUGCAGGCAGCUUCGCAUAACCCUUUCAAACUUUCUCAAUAAUAAAGCAGUUUAUCAGGGUAUUUAGAUCUCAACUUCUGCAAUGCAUAUGCCUCUUUGCAUCUCAACAAAGACCCAUCGUGCUUCCUACAUUUUUUCUCUGCAACUGAGAACCAUGCUUGGGUUGUAUAGGUAUGUGAUCCAAGCAUGGUUCUUAAGAAUUGGUAUCGAAUUGGCCGUAUCGAGAAAAAGGGUUACACGUCAAAACUGGAGAAAAUGACCAAUGUGGGGUGGAAAGCCUUGGAUCGAAAGCCAAUGGCUGCAUCACUUUGUCUUACAUCAUGUUUCCAUAGAAACAUUGGCACAUUGACUAUAGAAAAAGCUUAAAGAUAUGUACGAGAAGACCAUCGACAACAAAGCUCUUUAGUUAGAAGUUUUGUAAAUUUGAAAUACAAAGAAGGGCACUUGAACGAGGUACAAAGCAUUGUUCGUGAAUCAACUCUCCUUCAUGAAGAUGAUGCUUGACGAUGAGUUGUAAGUGUUGUUAUUCCUCAAUUCAUUACUAGAUAAUUGGGAGACUCUGAUGGUCACUCAGCAACUCAGCAGCAGAUGGAAACUCACCAUGAGCCAAGUAAUAGGAAGUUUUCUGAAUGAAGAGAUAAGGAGAAAAUCCUUGGGCUUGUCUCAUCACGAGGCACUUGUCGUAGAGAACCAGGGGAAAGGAGGAAUUAGGCAACCUCAAGACUGUAAGAAUUAACUGGGAAGAUCCAAGUCAAGAAGAAUUGUAGUAGCAGGGCAUGAAAUAUGCCUGUAGAAAGCUCAAAGCACAGAGAUAGAACUACAAUGCAAAGAAAGAAGAAAAGGAUCCACUACCCUUAGCUUGGAAGGAGAAAAGAUCAUCAUGUCGAGGGUCCGAACCGGCAAGGGUUGACACGGGUGCCCUAUGGUGUAUGACAGCAAGGGUAACGUCAAAUGUAGGAUGGUUGGACAAGAUUGAGCCGGUACUCGAUGUGAUUCGCACGCCUAAGCCAUGCCCGUGCACGUAUCACAAGGCUAUGUAUGAGUAGGGAAGAUAUGUUAUUGUACUUGAUGGUGAGGGCUUGGUGCACGACAAGUGGCGGAAGUGAAAUACGUGUUGAGAACCCGUUUCCCACCAAAAUCUAGCAAGGAUUGUCAUAUUCUGGCCAACCGGUGGGUGGUCAUUGGUGGGUGAGACCCUCCAGUGCGACCCACCUGUGGGGGAGAUAUGGGCCCCAACGAGCCCAACUUGGGUGAACACACGUGUUUCGGGUUCCCCGUCGUAGUGAAGACAUAUGGGUUUGAUAUUACCGGCUACUUCGCCUGGUAUCAUGGUUCAAUGCGAUUCAGACCAAAGAAUGACAAUACCUAUAUAAAUAGCAUUUACUCUCCCAUUUAUUAUUUCAGCAAAGGUUGGUGGAGAGGAGUAAAGAAAAGGGAGAAAAGAGGGAAGAGACGGAAAGGAGGAGUAAGGGAAGUGUUUCCCCCUUUGCUACCGAAAUUGUACCUCACUAUUUCGACGCAAAAAAAGUGAUCGGUGCCUUGAGAUCUACAAAUUAAGGUAGGUUUUAAAGGAGGAACAACCAAGAUUUGAAGGCAUUUUGUGAUAUUUUGAGUUUGGAAAAGGAUCCUAAGUUUUUGGGGUUUCUUGAGUUAAAGGUAUGAUUUUGUUCCCGAAAUCUCGAUUUAGACCUAGAUCUAUGAUGUGUUUAUGUGAAUGGUGCCUUAAAUGUGUGGGAAAUGUGUUGGAAACAAUCCCCUUGGAUUCCCCAGAGGUGGGAUGGAGAAGAGAAGAAGGACAGUAGAACCCGCUGAACACUGGUGGGUAACACCGGCGGGUAACCAGAUCCACUAGUGUGACCCCUAGUCUUUCCUGGGCUUCGGAGCCUACCGGUGGGUACCCUUACCGGCGGUACCCGCCGGUAGCACCCAUUGGUCUUGGGUUAGCCUCGGGGUCCUACUGACGGGUAAGACCGAUGAGUACCAGACCCGUCGAUAGCACCCGCCAGUGUGUGUAUGAGUGUUGUUUGCCUG
This is a long non-coding RNA of Macadamia integrifolia, 2891 nucleotides long. RefSeq lists it as uncharacterized. NCBI's taxonomy places the organism in Eukaryota, Viridiplantae, Streptophyta, Magnoliopsida, Proteales, Proteaceae. The transcript is spliced from 3 exons. The record is from RefSeq and is a predicted model, not a curated record.